CUACGGGCUGCAGCAGUUAGGAAUAAUCUACAAUGCACGAAAGUGUGAUAGUUUGAGUCAAAGUGCGUUUCAAUUUGAAAUGCUUUUAUGGAAUGUAAAAAGUUCCACGAAUAAGGACUGGGUAAGACAGGUGCCAGCCGCCGCGGCAAUACCUGCGGUCCAAGUCGCAGCCAUUUUUAUUGGGUCUAAAACAUCCGUAGCUUGCUUGGUAAGUUUCUUGUGAAAUUCCAUAUCUUAAAUAUGGAGCGGGCAGGAAGUACUGCCAAGCUAGAGACCGGGAGACGUAAGAAGUACGUUCGAAGUAGCGGUAAAAUGUGUUAAUCUCGAGCGGACUCACAACAGCGAAGGCAUCUUACGAGAACAGUUCUGACAGUAAGGGAUGAAGGCUAGGGGCGCAAAACGGAUUAGAUACCCUCGUAGUC
Molecule: ribosomal RNA, 422 nt
Filed under: uncultured archaeon
Lineage: Archaea
Description: partial 16S ribosomal RNA
Rfam family: Archaeal small subunit ribosomal RNA
Source: RNAcentral